CGGGACGUGGCGCAGGCUGGUAGCGCACCGGCUUUGGGAGCCGGGGGCCGAGAGUUCAAAUCUCUCCGUCCCGA
RNAcentral lists this transfer RNA (74 nucleotides) under Acidimicrobiaceae bacterium. Its description in RNAcentral is "tRNA-Pro". It matches the Rfam family "tRNA". From Rfam's summary of the family: Transfer RNA (tRNA) molecules are approximately 80 nucleotides in length. Their secondary structure includes four short double-helical elements and three loops (D, anti-codon, and T loops). Lineage: Bacteria; Bacillati; Actinomycetota; Acidimicrobiia; Acidimicrobiales; Acidimicrobiaceae. RNAcentral also lists the same sequence under 1 other name. The record is from RNAcentral.